CUCGAAAAAGAUGUUUUAGCCUUGUUAGGGGAUGACCCAUCAGAAAAAUCUGAGGAGAUUCACCUUCAUGAAGCACUAACUGUGCGUUGGAACUAUAACCUCACACGAGGUUUGGAUGCUCAGGUAAAAACAGCAUUAUUGGGGAAAUACCAAACACCAAUCAAUUGCGAAUUACUCAAAGCACCAGAAAUUCUACCUGCAUUAGCCGAUAUACAAAUCAAGAAGGAUAAGUAUCAACGUUUAGGUCAAUCUCAAUUGGGCGUGGGUCUCACCUCACUAGGUGAAGCUUUGACCCUUCUUCUGAAGGAGAGUGGUUCCCGAAAUGAGGAAUUAUUGAAAUUAUUAAUAGAUUCCGGAAAAAUUUUGACAGAUCUUUUCUUUAAUAUGUCCCGAUCUAGAAGAGCCAACAUUGCUCAAAAUCUUAAUAAGUCUAUGAAGGACAUAAUCCAGAAAGAUACACCAGGUCACUUUCUGUUUGGAGAGGACUUAAGUGAACGCAUUAAAUCUGCAAAGACUUUACAAAAGUCAAGUCAGGACCUCAAAGCGGUACCAGAUAAAUUAAUAGUAAAAUCCCCUAAAAUCAGUCAAAAAAGAGGGGGGGGAGGAACAACUAAUUACCCAUCCACCUCCAGGUCUUUAAACUCGAGGAGCUCGUUUCGGUCAACGAGGGACCUGAAACAAAAAGGGCGAGAUCCUCGACCGUAUCAGAGUUACAAAAAUUACCGGAGUCGCAGUCCCUCACGCUCCAACAAACGUUAGAGUUACGAACAACACCCUCUGAGGCUUACUCUGGUUGCCACACUUUUGUCAGGGAAGUUUUUUCUCAGAAGAAAAAUACCCGAACAAUCAAUCCCCAUAAUGUUGCAGUCUUUGUCGACCGGGACUUUAAAGCAGUAUGACUGCACAUACAGCAGCUGGUGGCUUUUCUGUUCAAAGUUCAAUCUAUGUCCUUAUACUGCUACUUCCAAUGAGGUACUACAAUUUUUGCAGGACAUAUUUACCUCAAAAAAUUAUAGUUAUGGGACGUUUAAUUCCCAUCGCUCAGCUUUAUCUUUAAUCAUUCCUGAUAUUGGAACUAAUAUUUACAUAAAACGAUUUUUGAAGGGGAUAGCGCGACUUUGCCCGGUACGUCGCAAAUACGACUUUACUUGGGAUCCCAGUAAGGUCUUAGAUUUUUUGAAUAACUUGUUUCCUAAGACCAACCUUUCAUUGCAAAAACUCACGUACAAAUUGAUCACGCUGUUAGCACUGAUCACUGGACAUCGUGUUCAAACACUAUCCUUGAUUAAAUUAUCAAAUAUUCUUAAGAUGGAUACCAAAAUUCAGAUCCGAAUAACAGAAAACAUUAAAACGUCUUUACUGACAAAAAACGAACCGUGCCUUCAAAUCCCUUUCUUUAACGAACAACCUGGAGUUUGUGCUGCUCUAACCUUAUCAGACUAUAUCCAGAGGACUGCUCAGAUUCGUAAAGAUGUUGACUCUCUGUUCCUGACAAUAAAAUCACCUCAUAAAGCAGCUAAUAAACAAACAUUAAGUAAAUGGAUAAAAACCACAUUAUCUAUGGCUGGAAUUAAUACUAGUAUUUUCUCAGCUCAUUCAACUAGACAUGCGUCAUCAUCUGCAGCUUUACACAAAGGCAUUUCAUUGGAUGUAAUCCAUAAGACUGCAGGUUGGUCCGAAAAGUCACAAACUUUUGUCAAAACCUACAAUCUGCCUCUAGCUGCAGAGACCGAUUUUGCCAAGGCAAUUAUGCAAUGAGUCAUGUGCCUUUUUUCCUUUUCGUUAUUAAAAGAAUAUAUGUUUUGUUUAUCUUUCAUUUUACAAUGUAGACGCUCAAAUAAACUUUUGAUGUUA
This is a long non-coding RNA of Tribolium castaneum (red flour beetle), 1854 nucleotides long. RefSeq lists it as uncharacterized. Lineage: Eukaryota; Metazoa; Arthropoda; Insecta; Coleoptera; Tenebrionidae. The transcript is spliced from 2 exons. The record is from RefSeq and is a predicted model, not a curated record.